This 235-nucleotide ribosomal RNA is filed under the name uncultured Glomus. RNAcentral describes it as "partial 18S ribosomal RNA". It matches the Rfam family "Eukaryotic small subunit ribosomal RNA", at positions 548 to 785 of the family's 1831-position model. Lineage: Eukaryota; Fungi; Glomeromycota; Glomeromycetes; Glomerales; Glomeraceae. The record is from RNAcentral.
UUGGAGGGCAAGUCUGGUGCCAGCAGCCGCGGUAAUUCCAGCUCCAAUAGCGUAUAUUAAAGUUGUUGCAGUUAAAAAGCUCGUAGUUGAAUUUCGGGGUUAGUAGGUUGGUCAUGCCUCUGGUAUGUACUGGUCUCACUGAUUCCUCCUUCCUGAUGAACCGUAAUGCCAUUAAUUUGGUGUUGCGGGGAAUUCGGACUGUUACUUUGAAAAAAUUAGAGUGUUUAAAGCAGGC